This 378-nucleotide ribosomal RNA is filed under the name uncultured bacterium. Its description in RNAcentral is "bacterial SSU rRNA". It matches the Rfam family "Bacterial small subunit ribosomal RNA", at positions 521 to 896 of the family's 1533-position model. The record is from RNAcentral.
UAAGACGGAGGGCGCGAGCGUUGUUCGGAAUCACUGGGCGUAAAGCGCGCGCAGGCGGGACUAGCAAGUCGGAAGUGAAAGACCGGGGCUCAACCCCGGGGCGGCUUCCGAGACUGCGGACCUGGGGACCGGUAGAGGCUGGUAGAAUUCCCGGUGUAGCGGUGGAAUGCGUAGAGAUCGGGAAGAACACCCGUGGCGAAGGCGGCCAGCUGGGCCGGAUCCGACGCUGAGGCGCGAAAGCGUGGGGAGCAAACAGGAUUAGAUACCCUGGUAGUCCACGCUGUAAACGAUGGGCACUAGGUGCCGGUGGGAGCGACCCCUUCGGUGCCGUAGCUAACGCGCUAAGUGCCCCGCCUGGGGAGUACGGCCGCAAGGCUG